AGAUCAUCACGGUGACUUACAAGCAACUCACUAUACUUUGAUGUCGGACUAUCUGAAUUUUUAAUUCAGCGAUGAAAGAUUUUUGGGCAUAAUCAAGUACUUAUGAAGUUGGUGUAUGAGUCAAGAUGAAAUUGACCCUCCGAAUAAGUAGGAGUUAGUGUAUCAGUAUGUUUCAUUUCAGUAAAACCUUGGUCGGGAU
RNAcentral lists this long non-coding RNA (199 nucleotides) under Elaeis guineensis (African oil palm). RNAcentral describes it as "long non-coding RNA (EGUI_LNC062345)". The record is from RNAcentral. Lineage: Eukaryota; Viridiplantae; Streptophyta; Magnoliopsida; Arecales; Arecaceae.